Non-coding RNA from Pelobates cultripes (western spadefoot toad), 878 nucleotides. NCBI's taxonomy places the organism in Eukaryota, Metazoa, Chordata, Amphibia, Anura, Pelobatidae. The record is from the annotation of a GenBank genome assembly.
GUUUAAGAGAAAAUCCUGUUAAAUCGUGUAAUCUUUUGAAAAUCAAAUUAAAUAUCAAUCUGGCAUGCCUUAAAACAUGUCAACCCAAAGCUUUACAUUUAUCAGCAGCAAUGCCCUGAUAAAAUACAAUUACUAAUACGUUUUAAUUGGCACUUUUUUUUUUUUUUUUUGAGUUAAAGGACAUGAGUUUACAAAUGACCAGAAAUUAUGCAAAAAGAGGUAAAUUCAUCUCAUUUAUUGUUCAUAAAACACCAAACCAGAAGCAGUUCUACACUGCGAAUCACGAUUCCCACCCAUCCAAAAAAAAAGAGAGAAAAUGUAUUUACUUAUUUUAGACUUUGGGUGUGCCAUGACUUAGCUAGAACAAAGAUGGAUUCCAAAUCUUAGGGAGAAAAUCCAGACAUGUAAAUGAUAUUUAUGGUUUUAAUCUUCCUUCUUCCAAAUAGAAAACAAAAAUCCUUUAAAAUGGCAAACAUAAAGAACAUGCACACAGUGGAGUCCUGAUAGCAAGUGUUGGAUUCAAUUAAAAGCAUUCCCUUAUUUGAAACAAAAGAAGGUAUUGAAAAAAUAAAUAAAUGUAAAAAAAAAUAACACCCAGAGUGUAAUACACAGAGUUAGCCAUUUCAUUCCAUGGCAGGAUCAUGGCAGCCUGUUCUGUUGGCCUCUCCUUGGUGUCUGAUGAAGGAUGUUUUACAGAGUUCAGUAAUAACUCAAAAGGCGGAUGCAAGCUGGACGCUGAUUGGCUGCAGUCUCGGGAGAGCCUCUCCGACGGCCAGUGACGUCACCGUGGCUCAUACCCAAGUCGAGGACACCCUUUUGACACCCCCACCCGAUAGACAGAAGCCAGCCCACUGAUAGCAGCAGCACUGUGUGUGCAC